Molecule: RNA transcript, 2078 nt
Organism: Arabidopsis lyrata subsp. lyrata
Lineage: Eukaryota; Viridiplantae; Streptophyta; Magnoliopsida; Brassicales; Brassicaceae
Exons: 9
Source: RefSeq, a predicted model, not a curated record
UACGAGCAUCUUCUUCUCCGAAGCUUCUCAAACCCAGAAAAUACGAGCAUCUUCUUCUUCGAAGAACUUCAGUGUCAUCGAACAAAUCAUGGGGUUUUUCGUUUCUAUGAAUUUCUAAGUAGAUUUCAAGCGUUCGUCAAUCUCAAUAGAUCCCGAAUCGUUCAUCGAUCUCAUCAAUCGCGAUUUGAUUUUUUCUCGCCGACUCCAAAAUUCAAGUUUCAGAAUUGAGAAUGGACAAGUCUUGGAUUACAAAACAUCGUAUAUCUCAAGACUACAUAAAUGGAGUCAAAGAGUUUUUGGAUUUUGCUUUUGGUUAUAGUAAGACAGAUAUGAUCAAAUGUCCUUGUCAACGUUGUUUUCUUGUUAAACACAAGAAUAUGACUGAGAUUGAGGGUGAUUUAGUCUUUCACGGUUUUCUGCCUACAUAUACAAAUUGGUAUCUCCAUGGUGAAGAACUGGAUUUUCAAGAGCAAGAAGUGAGACUAGAACAUGAAUCUGAUGAUAAUCAUGUUGAAAACCCGACUAUGAAUCUGCUUGGAGAUGUUUUUCCAAGUAUGAGUAAUAGUUUUAACGAUGAUGCUGCUAGUAUGCCUACUAUGGAGGAUCAUUCAAAGCAAAAUGAGGUGUUUGAUGAUUUGCUAGCAGACUGCAAUGAAGCUUUGUAUGAAGGGUGUCACUCUUUUAGCAAGUUAUCAUUCAUGCUCAAGUUGUAUCACAUCAAGUGUAUAACUAGAAUCAGUGACAAAGGAAUGUCAAUGAUACUUGACCUUUUGAAAGAAGCUUUUGAGCAUGCAAAGUUCCCAAUUACAGAAAAGAAAUGGCUUGGAAAGUGAUUCAGAAAAAGUUCUGGUUUGAUAAUCCAAGGAGGAGGAAGAAAUAUGUUUUAUCUGCAUUAGGAGUCAGAUGCAGAGACUUGAAACAACGCAUUUGGAUGAAGUACAGAAGAAAUACUAUAGAGGAAGCAUUUGAAGCAAGACCAGGACUAAUUCCUGAAGAUCAAUGGAAAGAAUUUGUGGAAAUGCAGUUCACUGAUAAGGCUAAGAGAGUGAGAGAGCGUAAUAUUAAUAGUCGAAACAAUCAUAAAAUGCCACAUACACUUGGAAAAAAGAGUUUAGCAAGAAAAGCUAAUGAGAUGGAAGAGGAGACAGGCAAAGAACCAAAUCGAGCUGAACUUUUUAUUGCAUCAAGGACUAGAUCAGAUGGAAGUUUAUUGAGCAACGAAGCAAGAAUCACUGUGGAUAAGCUUUCCCAAGUAAUGACUGAGAAUAUACAAGAUGAAGCAUCCAAUACUGAGUCUAGACCAUAUGAUGCAUUUGAACAAGUGUUUGGUUCUGAGCCUACAGGUCGAGUUCGAUGUGUUGGACGUGGAGUAACACCGUCCAAGUAUCUUUUGGAUCAGGAAUCUGUGAUGUCGUCUAAUGCUGAGAUUUUGGAGCUAAAGACCCGUUUGAAAGGACUUGAAGAUAAGCUAGAAAUCGUGACAGAUGCUCUUUUUGUUCUUGUUAAAUCGAAAACUGAAGGAAGAUACUGAAGUAAGUCCAAUACACUUCGAAGGAGAGCCAAUUUUGAAUCAGAAAAAGCCCAAUGGUGGCUAGAAAGAAGAGAUGGCCCAAGAAGGAGAGUAAUCAUGUACGGAUUCCACGAGGCUGAGAUGAAGAAUCGAUUGAACAGAGAAGAAGAGUCGAUAAUGGAGGUUGAAGGAGGUCAAACAGAGAACCAUGUCUGAAGCAUUUCAGAAGCUCUAUGGGGAUUUGAUUGGCGAAGUCUUGCUGUUCGAUUUCAGACAGUUAGUUCAGCCUCCCGAAUCAAAGCAUCGACAGAUUUGAAUCAAUAUGGAAGCGAUUAUUACAGAGAAGAGCAUCCUAUAUGCGGGAGGAGAGGUCGUUGCAACGACGGGAUAUAUUUUCUCAGACUACCCGUCGUUGUUUCAUUCAAUUUGACUUUAAUCGUUCUCAAAAUCUCUGGCCAGUUGAUUUAAUAACUCUAAUAUAAUUAGCACAUGCAAGAAAUGAUUUUCAAGAUUUUUACACGGAUUUGCUAGUCUGAUAUGUGUGAAUGAAGAUCUGAAACAUCAGUAA